Molecule: ribosomal RNA, 516 nt
Filed under: uncultured bacterium
Lineage: Bacteria
Description: bacterial SSU rRNA
Rfam family: Archaeal small subunit ribosomal RNA
Source: RNAcentral
AACCUCCGCAAUGUGAGAAAUCGCGACGGGGGGAUCCCAAGUGCCAUUCUUAACGGGAUGGCUUUUCUUAAGUGUAAAAAGCUUUUGGAAUAAGAGCUGGGCAAGACCGGUGCCAGCCGCCGCGGUAACACCGGCAGCUCUAGUGGUAGCUGUUUUUAUUGGGCCUAAAGCGUUCGUAGCCGGUUUGAUAAGUCACUGGUGAAAUCCUGUAGCUUAACUGUGGGAAUUGCUGGUGAUACUGUUGAACUUGAGGUCGGGAGAGGUUAGCGGUACUCCCAGGGUAGAGGUGAAAUUCUGUAAUCCUGGGAGGACCACCUGUGGCGAAGGCGGCUAACUGGAACGAACCUGACGGUGAGGGACGAAAGCUAGGGGCGCGGACCGGAUUAGAUACCCGGGUAGUCCUAGCCGUAAACGAUGCGGACUUGGUGUUGGGAUGGCUUUGAGCCGCUCCGGUGCCGAAGGAGCUGUAAGUCGCCGCCUGGGAGUACGGUCGCAAGACUGAAACUUAAAGGAAUU